AAUAUAGCUAAGUGGGAAACGAAGUGGGAAGGCUAAAACAGUCAGGAGGUUGGCUUAGAAGCAGCCACCCUUUAAAGAAAGCGUAAUAGCUCACUGAUCGAGUCGUCCUGCGCGGAAGAUGUAACGGGGCUAAGCUAUAUACCGAAGCUGCGGAUGCGAGCUUUGCUCGCAUGGUAGGAGAGCGUUCCGUAAGCCUGCGAAGGUGCGUUGAAAAGCGUGCUGGAGGUAUCGGAAGUGCGAAUGCUGACAUGAGUAGCGAUAAAGGGGGUGAAAGGCCCCCUCGCCGUAAGCCCAAGGUUUCCUACGCAACGUUCAUCGGCGUAGG
RNAcentral lists this ribosomal RNA (325 nucleotides) under Burkholderia pyrrocinia. RNAcentral describes it as "bacterial LSU rRNA". It matches the Rfam family "Bacterial large subunit ribosomal RNA", at positions 1052 to 1378 of the family's 2925-position model. Lineage: Bacteria; Pseudomonadati; Pseudomonadota; Betaproteobacteria; Burkholderiales; Burkholderiaceae. The record is from RNAcentral.